RNAcentral lists this ribosomal RNA (468 nucleotides) under uncultured bacterium. RNAcentral's name for it is "partial 16S ribosomal RNA". It matches the Rfam family "Bacterial small subunit ribosomal RNA", at positions 28 to 507 of the family's 1533-position model. The record is from RNAcentral.
GACGAACGCUGGCGGCGUGCUUAACACAUGCAAGUCGAACGGAAAGGCCCUGCUUUUGUGGGGUGCUCGAGUGGCGAACGGGUGAGUAACACGUGAGUAACCUGCCCCUGACUUUGGGAUAACUUCAGGAAACUGGGGCUAAUACCGGAUAGGAGCUCCUGCUGCAUGGUGGGGGUUGGAAAGUUUCGGCGGUUGGGGAUGGACUCGCGGCUUAUCAGCUUGUUGGUGGGGUAGUGGCUUACCAAGGCUUUGACGGGUAGCCGGCCUGAGAGGGUGACCGGCCACAUUGGGACUGAGAUACGGCCCAGACUCCUACGGGAGGCAGCAGUGGGGAAUAUUGCACAAUGGGCGGAAGCCUGAUGCAGCAACGCCGCGUGCGGGAUGACGGCCUUCGGGUUGUAAACCGCUUUCGCCUGUGACGAAGCGUGAGUGACGAUAAUGGGUAAAGAAGCACCGGCUAACUACGUG